CGGGUGAACGCUGGCGGCGUGCCUAACACAUGCAAGUCGAGCGGUGCAGUUUGAAGCUUCGGUGGAAAGCUGCAUAGCGGCGGACGGGUGAGGAAAACGUAGGAACGUGCCCCUUGGAGUUGGAUAGCCACGGGAAACUGUGGGUAAACCGACAUAGACUCGAGAGAGUAAAGGCCGAAAGGCGCCAAGGGAGCGGCCUGCGGCCCAUCAGGUAGUUGGUAGUGUAAAGGACUACCAAGCCGACGACGGGUAGCCGGUCUGAGAGGAUGGCCGGCCACAAGGGCACUGAGAGACGGGCCCUACUCCUACGGGAGGCAGCAGUGGGGGAUUUUGGACAAUGGGCGAAAGCCUGAUCCAGCGACGCCGCGUGCAGGAAGACGGCCUUAUGGGUUGUAAACUGCUUUUAUACGGGAGCAAUAAGGGUUACGAGUAAUCCGAUGAGAGUACUGUAUGAAUAAGGAUCGGCUAACUCCGUG
This 476-nucleotide ribosomal RNA is filed under the name uncultured bacterium. RNAcentral describes it as "bacterial SSU rRNA". It matches the Rfam family "Bacterial small subunit ribosomal RNA", at positions 27 to 507 of the family's 1533-position model. The record is from RNAcentral.